RNAcentral lists this long non-coding RNA (207 nucleotides) under Capsicum annuum. RNAcentral's name for it is "long non-coding RNA (CANN_LNC003359)". The record is from RNAcentral. Lineage: Eukaryota; Viridiplantae; Streptophyta; Magnoliopsida; Solanales; Solanaceae.
CUAGACAUGGUGCUGGACAUGAUACUACUCGUGGUGAUGGUUGAGUUGGGUCUUAUCCUAACAGGCCUCGGACUAGGGUACAGACUAAUCCUCAGUAUGGAGUUAGGAGUGGGGGUCAGCCCCAAGUUGUGGCUCUUAAGCGAGUGCAGGACCAGGUUGAUCAUGAUACUCCAGCGGCAACACCUGUUGCCGUACCUACCAUUACAU